UACGAAGGGGGCUAGCGCUGCUCGGAAUCACUGGGCUUAAAGCGUGUGUAGGCGGAUCGUUAAGUACCUUGUGAAAUCCCACGGCUCAACCGUGGAACGGCUGGGUAUACUGGCGGUCUUGGGCCAUUCAGGGGCGACUGGAACAAGCGGUGGAGCGGUGAAAUGCGUAGAUAUCGCUUGGAACGCCGAAGGUGAAAACAGGUCGCUGGGGAUGUGCCGACGCUGAGACACGAAAGCCAGGGGAGCAAACGGG
RNAcentral lists this ribosomal RNA (253 nucleotides) under uncultured bacterium. Its description in RNAcentral is "partial 16S ribosomal RNA". It matches the Rfam family "Bacterial small subunit ribosomal RNA", at positions 524 to 776 of the family's 1533-position model. The record is from RNAcentral.